AGCAGCCGCGGUAAUUCCAGCUCCAAUAGCGUAUAUUAAAGUUGUUGCAGUUAAAAAGCUCGUAGUUGAAUUUCGGGGUUAGUAGAUUGGUCAUGCCUCUGGUAUGCACUGGUCUUACUGAUUCCUCCUUCCUGAUGAACCGUAAUGCCAUUAAUUUGGUGUUGCGGGGAAUUUGGACUGUUACUUUGAAAAAAUUAGAGUGUUUAAAGCAGGCUAACGCUUGAAUACAUUAGCAUGGAUAAUGGAAUAGGACGUUCGAUCCUAUUUUGUUGGUUUCUAGGAUUGACGUAAUGAUUAAUAGGGAUAGUUGGGGGCAUUAGUAUUCAAUUGUCAGAAGUGAAAUUCUUGGAUUAUUGAAGACUAACUACUGCGAAAGCAUUUGCCAAGGAUGCUUUCAUUAA
RNAcentral lists this ribosomal RNA (401 nucleotides) under uncultured Glomeromycotina. Its description in RNAcentral is "SSU rRNA". It matches the Rfam family "Eukaryotic small subunit ribosomal RNA", at positions 569 to 976 of the family's 1831-position model. Lineage: Eukaryota; Fungi; Glomeromycota. The record is from RNAcentral.